UUCACUUCUUGGCCCUUUGGCUAAGAUCAAGUGUAAUAUCUGUUCUUAUCAGUUUAUUUUCUGGUAUGUCCUCAAUUUGAGGAUGAUGUAAUAAUUGGAUUUUGGGGACUGGGUAUUGCAGGGCUUCCACCUUUCCCCCAGAGGGAAUAUUUUUUCCAGUGCUUAGUAUGGUGCCUGCCACAUAGU
Molecule: small nuclear RNA, 186 nt
Organism: Ornithorhynchus anatinus (platypus)
Lineage: Eukaryota; Metazoa; Chordata; Mammalia; Monotremata; Ornithorhynchidae
Product: U2 spliceosomal RNA
Exons: 1
Source: RefSeq, a predicted model, not a curated record